AACGAUAAAGCGGGUGAAAAGCCCGCUCGCCGGAAGACCAAGGGUUCCUGUCCAACGUUAAUCGGGGCAGGGUGAGUCGACCCCUAAGGCGAGGCCGAAAGGCGUAGUCGAUGGGAAACAGGUUAAUAUUCCUGUACUUGGUGUUACUGCGAAGGGGGGACGGAGAAGGCUAUGUUAGCCGGGCGACGGUUGUCCCGGUUUAAGCAUGUAGGCUGGUUAUCCAGGCAAAUCCGGAUAAUCAAGGCUGAGGUGUGAUGACGAGGCACUACGGUGCUGAAGUAACAAAUGCCCUGCUUCCAGGAAAAGCCUCUAAGCAUCAGGU
RNAcentral lists this ribosomal RNA (322 nucleotides) under Acinetobacter baumannii. RNAcentral's name for it is "partial 23S ribosomal RNA". It matches the Rfam family "Bacterial large subunit ribosomal RNA", at positions 1308 to 1632 of the family's 2925-position model. The record is from RNAcentral. Lineage: Bacteria; Pseudomonadati; Pseudomonadota; Gammaproteobacteria; Moraxellales; Moraxellaceae.